AAUCAACGCUGGCGGCGUGCCUAACACAUGCAAGUCGAACGAGAAAGGGUAGCAAUACCUGAGUACAGUGGCGCACGGGUGAGUAACACGUGACUAACCUACCCUGGAGUGGGGGAUAACUGGGAGAAAUCCUAGCUAAUACCGCAUAAUACCUACGGGUCAAAGGAGCAAUUCGCUUCAGGAGGGGGUCGCGGCCGAUUAGUUAGUUGGCGGGGUAAUGGCCCACCAAGACGAUGAUCGGUAUCCGGCCUGAGAGGGCGCACGGACACACUGGAACUGAAACACGGUCCAGACUCCUACGGGAGGCAGCAGUGGGGAAUUUUGCGCAAUGGGGGAAACCCUGACGCAGCAACGCCGCGUGGAGGAUGAAGUCCUUCGGGACGUAAACUCCUUUCGAUCGGGACGAUUAUGACGGUACCGGAAGAAGAAGCC
This 432-nucleotide ribosomal RNA is filed under the name bacterium Ellin6015. RNAcentral describes it as "bacterial SSU rRNA". It matches the Rfam family "Bacterial small subunit ribosomal RNA", at positions 32 to 492 of the family's 1533-position model. Lineage: Bacteria; Pseudomonadati; Acidobacteriota; Terriglobia; Terriglobales; Acidobacteriaceae. The record is from RNAcentral.